RNAcentral lists this ribosomal RNA (541 nucleotides) under uncultured bacterium. Its description in RNAcentral is "bacterial SSU rRNA". It matches the Rfam family "Bacterial small subunit ribosomal RNA", at positions 397 to 931 of the family's 1533-position model. The record is from RNAcentral.
CCGCGUGCAGGACGAACGCCUUCGGGUUGUAAACUGCUUUUGUACGGAACGAAAAAGCCUUGGUUAAUACCCAGGGUCCAUGACGGUACCGUAAGAAUAAGCACCGGCUAACUACGUGCCAGCAGCCGCGGUAACACGUAGGGUGCAAGCGUUAAUCGGAAUUACUGGGCGUAAAGCGUGCGCAGGCGGUUAUAUAAGACAGAUGUGAAAUCCCCGAGCUUAACUUGGGAACUGCAUUUGUGACUGUAUAGCUAGAGUACGGCAGAGGGGGAUGGAAUUCCGCGUGUAGCAGUGAAAUGCGUAGAUAUGCGGAGGAACACCGAUGGCGAAGGCAAUCCCCUGGGCCUGUACUGACGCUCAUGCACGAAAGCGUGGGGAGCAAACAGGAUUAGAUACCCUGGUAGUCCACGCCCUAAACGAUGUCAACUGGUUGUUGGGUCUUCACUGACUCAGUAACGAAGCUAACGCGUGAAGUUGACCGCCUGGGGAGUACGGNCGCAAGGUUGAAACUCAAAGGAAUUGACGGUGACCCGCACAAGCG